Molecule: ribosomal RNA, 431 nt
Filed under: uncultured bacterium
Lineage: Bacteria
Description: bacterial SSU rRNA
Rfam family: Bacterial small subunit ribosomal RNA
Source: RNAcentral
AGCGAACGCUGGCGGCAGGCCUAACACAUGCAAGUUCGAACGGACCCUUCGGGGUUAGUGGCGGACGGGUGAGUAACACGUGGGAACGUGCCUUUAGGUUCGGAAUAGCUCCUGGAAACGGGUGGUAAUGCCGAAUGUGCCCUUCGGGGGAAAGAUUUAUCGCCUUUAGAGCGGCCCGCGUCUGAUUAGCUAGUUGGUGAGGUAAUGGCUCACCAAGGCGACGAUCAGUAGCUGGUCUGAGAGGAUGACCAGCCACAUUGGGACUGAGACACGGCCCAAACUCCUACGGGAGGCAGCAGUGGGGAAUCUUGCGCAAUGGGCGAAAGCCUGACGCAGCCAUGCCGCGUGAAUGAUGAAGGUCUUAGGAUUGUAAAAUUCUUUCACCGGGGACGAUAAUGACGGUACCCGGAGAAGAAGCCCCGGCUAACUUC